GGAUGUAUGGCGGAGUGGUUAACACCUUUGGAUAAUACCCUACAGAUAGCUCUUCCUAUUAACCAAAUCUCGUAGGUUCGAAUCCUGCUACGGCCA
Molecule: non-coding RNA, 96 nt
Organism: Mycena capillaripes
Lineage: Eukaryota; Fungi; Basidiomycota; Agaricomycetes; Agaricales; Mycenaceae
Source: the annotation of a GenBank genome assembly